This 22-nucleotide microRNA is filed under the name Lottia gigantea (owl limpet). RNAcentral's name for it is "lgi-miR-9-3p". Its record names the gene lgi-miR-9-3p. The record is from miRBase by way of RNAcentral. Lineage: Eukaryota; Metazoa; Mollusca; Gastropoda; Lottiidae.
AUAAAGCUAGGUUACCAAAGGC